GACGAACGCUGGCGGCGUGCUUAACACAUGCAAGUAGAGCGGAGCGGCGAACGGGUGAUUAACGCGUGAUUAACUGCCCCCCUUUCUGGGAUAACAGUUGGAAACGGCUUCUAAUAACGGAUAGUGGGGGUUGUUUCGCGUCCUAUCAGCUUGUUGGGGGGGUAUUGGCCUACAAAUGCGACGACGGGUAGCCGGCCUGAGAGGGCGACAGGCCACAUUGUGCUGGGAAACGGCCCGAACGCAUACGUGAGGCAGCAGGGGGGAAUAUGGCACAAUGGGGGAAACCAGGAUGCAGGAACGCCGCGUGCGGGAUGACUGCCUUCGGGUUGGAACCCGCUUUCAGCCAUGACGCGGUAGUGGCAGAAGAAGCACCGGCUAACUACGUGCCAGCAGCCGCGGUAAUAC
This 405-nucleotide ribosomal RNA is filed under the name uncultured bacterium. RNAcentral describes it as "partial 16S ribosomal RNA". It matches the Rfam family "Bacterial small subunit ribosomal RNA", at positions 28 to 526 of the family's 1533-position model. The record is from RNAcentral.